Molecule: long non-coding RNA, 317 nt
Organism: Onychostoma macrolepis
Lineage: Eukaryota; Metazoa; Chordata; Actinopteri; Cypriniformes; Cyprinidae
Exons: 3
Source: RefSeq, a predicted model, not a curated record
ACUACGUCCAUUUUUUUUUUUUUUACAGUCUAUGGUUAAGAGUUUAGGGUUCUUUAUUCCUGCCCUUUUGUUUUUCAAAUCUGUAACUGUCAAAGCACCUCAUUACUGAUUUUCUGGAGUUCAGUGAUACAACUACACAGACCGUCAACACACUCUCAACAGUUUUUUGGUCACAUGUAAGAGUGAGCAGCUCUUUUAAGCUGAGGAUACUUCUCUCCUCUUCUCCACUAAAUGCUGUCACAUCCUACAACCUCAUCAUCUGCAGAGAGAAACUGCCACUCAAUCACACCAAAAUAUGCAUAACGAUGGACUUUCAG